Molecule: ribosomal RNA, 466 nt
Filed under: uncultured bacterium
Lineage: Bacteria
Description: partial 16S ribosomal RNA
Rfam family: Bacterial small subunit ribosomal RNA
Source: RNAcentral
AACGAACGCUGGCGGUAUGCUUAACACAUGCAAGUCGAACGAACAAAAUUGGGGCUUGCUCCAAUUUUAGUGAGUGGCAAACGGGUGAGUAACACGUGGGAAUCUACCUAUCAAUACGGAAUAACAUUUGGAAACAGAUGCUAAUACCGUAUAUUCUCCAAGGAGGAAAGAUUUAUCGCUGAUAGAUGAGCCCGCGUAAGACUAGGUAGUUGGUAGGGUAAUGGCCUACCAAGCCGACGAUCUUUAGCUGGUCUGAGAGGAUGAUCAGCCACACUGGGACUGAGACACGGCCCAGACUCCUACGGGAGGCAGCAGUGGGGAAUAUUGGACAAUGGGCGAAAGCCUGAUCCAGCAAUACCGCGUGAAUGAUGAAGGCCUUGGGGUUGUAAAGUUCUUUUAGUUGGAAAGAUAAUGACGGUACCAACAGAAAAAGCCCCGGCUAACUCCGUGCCAGCCGCCGCAGUAA